UGUGGCUGCAUCAGGGCAGUUGGUAGAUGCCCCUCUGGGAGAGAUCCCCAGGGGUGACAGCCAUGGACCCUGGAAGGGCCUGGGCUAGGGACAGGGACCAGAGCCAGUCCAGGGAGAGGACAGAGCCAGUGGACUGGGGUGCACUGUAACAGCCCUGCUGGUGAGAGGGACCAGGGCACCGUCCUCCAAGGAGCCCACGCUGCAAGUCGGGCCAGAGGUGCCGCUGACCCUGAGGGCCAAUGAGACCCAAGACAGGCCAAGUGGGUUGUGAGACCCCUGAGGAGCUGGGCCCUGGUCCCAGGCAGCGCUGGCCCCUGCUGCUGCUGGGUCUGGCCAUGGUCGCCCAUGGCCUGCUGUGCCCAAUGGCUGCACCGCAGAGCGGGGACCCAGACCCUGGAACCUCAGUUGGAAGCAGCCGAUCCAGCCUGCGAAGCCUGUGGGGCAGGUCAGCCCAAGGCCAACCCCACAGUCACUCUGUUCCCACCCUCCUCUGAGGAGCUCCAAGCCAACAAGGCCACACUAGUGUGUCUGAUCAGUGACUUCUACCUGGAAGCCGUGACAGUGGCCUGGAAGGCAGAUGGCAACCCCGUCAAGGCGGGAGUGGAGACCACCAAACCCUCCAAACAGAGCAACAACAAGUACAUGGCCAGCAGCUACCUGAGCCUGACUCCUGAGCAGUGGAAGUCCCACAGAAGCUACAGCUGCCAGGUCACGCACGAAGGGAGCACCAUGGAGAAGACAGUGGCCCCUGCAGAAUGCUCAUAGGUUCCCAACCCGCACUCCACCCACGGGAGCCUGGAGCUGCAGGAUCCCAGGGGAGGGGUCUCUCUCCCCAUCCCAAGUCAUCCAGCCCUUCUCCCUGCACUCAUGAAACCCCAAUAAAUAUCCUCAUUGACAACCAGAAAAAUUGUUUCAUCUCAUUUUUUCUCUUCUCACAUAAAUUCCUAGCCUCCCCGGGGUUCUCAGUGUGGGGUACAGGGAAUUCUGCACCCAGUGUGAAAAUCACCCAAGGGAGAAGGCUCACAGUCUCCCUGAGUCAUCUCCACAGAGGGUCCUUCCUUGCCCAGUCACCCCUUCCCCAACUCUCCACUGUACCCCUGAGCCACCAGUCUGGCAUCAGUUCAGACCAGUCCCACACCCUCCUCAAUUUUACUUCUCAAUAAAUACCUGAUCAUGUAAAACCCA
This is a non-coding RNA of Pongo pygmaeus (Bornean orangutan), 1185 nucleotides long. The record is from the annotation of a RefSeq genome assembly. NCBI's taxonomy places the organism in Eukaryota, Metazoa, Chordata, Mammalia, Primates, Hominidae.